Myodes glareolus (Bank vole) is the source of this 944-nucleotide non-coding RNA. Lineage: Eukaryota; Metazoa; Chordata; Mammalia; Rodentia; Cricetidae. The record is from RefSeq and is a predicted model, not a curated record.
CUGUAAGGCCUACUGGCGUAAUUACGUGGAAUAAUGGAGGGCUCAUUAUAAAGGUAAAUAUCCUUCUGAGGAGCAAAAAUCUCUUGGAAAUCCUGGAACAUCAAACUUCAGAAUACCUAACAAACAAACAGAACGUUGGAAAGUACAGAUACAGACCUACUGGAGAGUCAACAGGCUUUCACAGUUCAACUGUGAGACAGGAGUUCAUUGCUCCUGGUCUAGUGGGAAUAUAUUUUGGAUGAACGUGAUGCUGCUACACUGACAUUACAGUUAAUAUGGUCUUGUACCCAUAUCUCAAUCAAUGACUUAUAAAUAGAAGUCCCACGUCCAGAUGGCAGAAUUCCGGCCUGCCAGUGCAGUGCUUCAGUGUGCCCAACCUGCUUUAUGACAACUGUGAGGGUCAGUCUUCACUGUCAACUCAGUUGGACGAAGAAUCACCCAUUAGACAUGUCUGUGAAAGCACUUCCAUAAAAAUUUAAUUGAGGAGGGAAAAUCCACCCUGAAGCUGAGUUACGUCAUCCUAUAGAUCUGCUUCUCAGAGUAACUAAAAAGGAAAGCAAGAGAAUGCAAGGUGAACGCCCAUAUCAACUGUCUCUCUGCUUCCGUCAUGACUGCUGACAAAAUGUGACCAGCUGGUUCUCCCACUACCAUACUUUCUGCCAGGAUGGACCAUUUCCCAUCUUAAAUCAGGAGCCAAAAACGACGCUCCUUCCUGAAGGUAAUUCUCGAAGGUAAUUUUGGCACAUCAAUGAGCAAAGUAACUAUUACAGUCAUCUAAAGAGCCUGCAAACAUCUCAAAAAGAGGACGAAGCAAAACAGAACUUUUACCAUCAGUCUAGUUUCAGUGUCUUCUCUGACUUCCCCUGUAGGAGUUCUGAAGUGACUGCACUGUUCUUGAAGUGAUACAACUGAAGAGGUUAUUAAAAUCCAAACUUAAGUGAAUG